AUAUUUAAGUUGUUGCAGUUAAAAAGCUCGUAGUUGAAACUUGGGCCUGGCUGGCAGGUCCGCCUCACCGCGUGUACUUGUCCGGCCGGGCCUUUCCUUCUGGAGAACCUCAUGCCCUUCACUGGGUGUGUUGGGGAACCAGGACUUUUACUUUGAAAAAAUUAGAGUGUUCAAAGCAGGCCUUUGCUCGAAUACGUUAGCAUGGAAUAAUAGAAUAGGACGUGCGGUCCUAUUUUGUUGGUUUCUAGGACCGCCGUAAUGAUUAAUAGGGACAGUCGGGGUCAUCAGUAUUCAAUUGUCA
RNAcentral lists this ribosomal RNA (301 nucleotides) under Ice core clone 145-3. Its description in RNAcentral is "SSU rRNA". It matches the Rfam family "Eukaryotic small subunit ribosomal RNA", at positions 601 to 907 of the family's 1831-position model. The record is from RNAcentral.